GCCAGACUCCUACGGGAGGCAGCAGUGGGGGAUAUUGCACAAUGGGGGAAACCCUGAUGCAGCGACGCCGCGUGAGUGAAGAAGUAUUUCGGUAUGUAAAGCUCUAUCAGCAGGGAAGAAAAAAGACGGUACCUGACUAAGAAGCCCCGGCUAACUACGUGCCAGCAGCCGCGGUAAUACGUAGGGGGCAAGCGUUAUCCGGAUUUACUGGGUGUAAAGGGGGCGCAGACGGCAGCGCAAGCCAGGAGUGAAAGCCCGGGGCCCAACCCCGGGACUGCUCUUGGAACUGCGCGGCUGGAGUGCAGGAGGGGCAGGCGGAAUUCCUGGUGUAGCGGUGAAAUGCGUAGAUAUCAGGAGGAACACCGGUGGCGAAGGCGGCCUGCUGGACUGCGACUGACGUUGAGGCCCGAAAGCGUGGGGAGCAAACAGGAUUAGAUACCCUCGUA
Molecule: ribosomal RNA, 446 nt
Filed under: uncultured bacterium
Lineage: Bacteria
Description: partial 16S ribosomal RNA
Rfam family: Bacterial small subunit ribosomal RNA
Source: RNAcentral